AGUGAACGCUGGCGGUAGGCCUAACACAUGCAAGUCGAACGGCAGCACAGUAAGAGCUUGCUCUUACGGGUGGCGAGUGGCGGACGGGUGAGGAAUACAUCGGAAUCUACUUUUUCGUGGGGGAUAACGUAGGGAAACUUACGCUAAUACCGCAUACGACCUACGUGUGAAAGCAGGGGAUCUUCGGACCUUGCGCGAUUGAAUGAGCCGAUGUCGGAUUAGCUAGUUGGCGGGGUAAAGGCGCACCAAGGCGACGAUCCGUAGCUGGUCUGAGAGGAUGAUCAGCCACACUGGAACUGAGACACGGUCCAGACUCCUACGGGAGGCAGCAGUGGGGAAUAUUGGACAAGGGGCGCAAGCCUGAUCCAGCCAUACCGCGUGGGUGAAGAAGGCCUUCGGGUUGUAAAGCCCUUUUGUUGGGAAAGAAAAGCAGCAGGUUAAUACCCCGCUGUUCUGACGGUACCCAAAGAAUAAGCACCGGCUAACUUCGUG
RNAcentral lists this ribosomal RNA (492 nucleotides) under uncultured bacterium. Its description in RNAcentral is "partial 16S ribosomal RNA". It matches the Rfam family "Bacterial small subunit ribosomal RNA", at positions 29 to 507 of the family's 1533-position model. The record is from RNAcentral.